GUACCUGACUAAGAAGCUCCGGCUAAAUACGUGCCAGCAGCCGCGGUAAUACGUAUGGAGCAAGCGUUAUCCGGAUUUACUGGGUGUAAAGGGGGCGUAGAUGGAUGUUUAAGUCAGUUGUGAAAGUUUGCGGCUCAACCGUAAAAUUGCAGUUGAUACUGGAUAUCUUGAGUGCAGUUGAGGCAGGCGGAAUUCGUGGUGUAGCGGUGAAAUGCUUAGAUAUCACGAAGAACUCCGAUUGCGAAGGCAGCCUGCUAAGCUGCAACUGACAUUGAGGCUCGAAAGUGUGGGUAUCAAACAGGAUUAGAUACCCUGGUAGUCCACACGGUAAACGAUGAAUACUCGCUGUUUGCGAUAUACAGCAAGCGGCCAAGCGAAAGCGUUAAGUAUUCCACCUGGGGAGUACGCCGGCAACGGUGAAACUCAAAGGAAUUGACGGGGGCCCGCACAAGCGGAGGAACAUGUGGUUUAAUUCGAUGAUACGCGAGGAACCUUACCCGGGCUUAAAUUGCAGAUGAAUUACGGUGAAAGCCGUAAGCCGCAAGGCAUCUGUGAAGGUGCUGCAUGGUUGUCGUCAGCUCGUGCCGUGAGGUGUCGGCUUAAGUGCCAUAACGAGCGCAACCCUUGUUGUCAGUUACUAACAGGUUUCGCUGAGGACUCUGACAAGACUGCCAUCGUAAGAUGUGAGGAAGGUGGGGAUGACGUCAAAUCAGCACGGCCCUUACGUCCGGGGCUACACACGUGUUACAAUGGGGGGUACAGAGGGCCGCUACCACGCGAGUGGAUGCCAAUCCCCAAAACCUCUCUCAGUUCGGACUGGAGUCUGCAACCCGACUCCACGAAGCUGGAUUCGCUAGUAAUCGCGCAUCAGCCACGGCGCGGUGAAUACGUUCCCGGGCCUUGUACACACCGCCCGUCAAG
RNAcentral lists this ribosomal RNA (921 nucleotides) under uncultured bacterium. RNAcentral describes it as "bacterial SSU rRNA". It matches the Rfam family "Bacterial small subunit ribosomal RNA", at positions 475 to 1401 of the family's 1533-position model. The record is from RNAcentral.